RNAcentral lists this ribosomal RNA (371 nucleotides) under Bacillus amyloliquefaciens. RNAcentral describes it as "bacterial SSU rRNA". It matches the Rfam family "Bacterial small subunit ribosomal RNA", at positions 111 to 478 of the family's 1533-position model. Lineage: Bacteria; Bacillati; Bacillota; Bacilli; Caryophanales; Bacillaceae. The record is from RNAcentral.
UAACACGUGGGUAACCUGCCUGUAAGACUGGGAUAACUCCGGGAAACCGGGGCUAAUACCGGAUGGUUGUCUGAACCGCAUGGUUCAGACAUAAAAGGUGGCUUCGGCUACCACUUACAGAUGGACCCGCGGCGCAUUAGCUAGUUGGUGAGGUAACGGCUCACCAAGGCGACGAUGCGUAGCCGACCUGAGAGGGUGAUCGGCCACACUGGGACUGAGACACGGCCCAGACUCCUACGGGAGGCAGCAGUAGGGAAUCUUCCGCAAUGGACGAAAGUCUGACGGAGCAACGCCGCGUGAGUGAUGAAGGUUUUCGGAUCGUAAAGCUCUGUUGUUAGGGAAGAACAAGUGCCGUUCAAAUAGGGCGGCAC